UGCCUAUACUGCAAGUCGAACGAGCUUCCGUUGAUUGAGGUGCUUGCACUGAUUUCAACACCGAAGCGAGUGGCGAACUGGUGAGUAACACGUGGGAAAUCUGCCCAGAAGCAGGGGAUAACACUUGGAAACAGGUGCUAAUACCGCAUAACAACAAGAACCGCAUGGUUCUUGUUUGAAAGGUGGCUUCGGCUAUCACUUCUGGAUGAUCCCGCGGCGUAUUAGUUAGUUGGUGAGGUAAAGGCCCACCAAGACAAUGAUACGUAGCCGACCUGAGAGGGUAAUCGGCCACAUUGGGACUGAGACACGGCCCAAACUCCUACGGGAGGCAGCAGUAGGGAAUCUUCCACAAUGGACGAAAGUCUGAUGGAGCAAUGCCGCGUGAGUGAAGAAGGGUUUCGGCUCGUAAAACUCUGUUGUUAAAGAAGAACACUUCUGAGAGUAACUGUUCAGAAGUUGACGGUAUUUAACCAGAAAGCCACGGCUAACUACGUGCCAGCAGCCGCGGUAAUACGUAGGUGGCAAGCGUUGUCCGGAUUUAUUGGGCGUAAAGCGAGCGCAGGCGGUUUUUUAAGUCUGAUGUGAAAGCCUUCGGCUUAACCGGAGAAGUGCAUCGGAAACUGGGAAACUUGAGUGCAGAAGAGGACAGUGGAACUCCAUGUGUAGCGGUGGAAUGCGUAGAUAUAUGGAAGAACACCAGUGGCGAAGGCGGCUGUCUAGUCUGUAACUGACGCUGAGGCUCGAAAGCAUGGGUAGCGAACAGGAUUAGAUACCCUGGUAGUCCAUGCCGUAAACGAUGAGUGCUAGGUGUUGGAGGGUUUCCGCCCUUCAGUGCCGCAGCUAACGCAUUAAGCACUCCGCCUGGGGAGUACGACCGCAGGGUUGAAACUCAAAGGAAUUGACGGGGGCCCGCACAAGCGGUGGAGCAUGUGGUUUAAUUCGAAGCUACGCGAAGAA
RNAcentral lists this ribosomal RNA (957 nucleotides) under uncultured bacterium. Its description in RNAcentral is "bacterial SSU rRNA". It matches the Rfam family "Bacterial small subunit ribosomal RNA", at positions 45 to 968 of the family's 1533-position model. The record is from RNAcentral.